AAAGUCGUAACAAGGUUUCCGUAGGUGAACCUGCGGAAGGAUCAUUAUCGGAUCCAAAGGGAUGUUGCUGGCCUUUACAAGUCGUGCACUCCCGCCUUUACAUCCACCUGUGCACUUGCUGUAGACUAGGAUUAAUUUCCGAGUCUAUGUUUUCAUAUACUCUAAAGUAAAGUAAAUGAAUGUAUUUUAGGCUUCGGCCAAAAAACAAUACAACUUUCAACAAUGGAUCUCUUGGUUCUC
RNAcentral lists this unclassified non-coding RNA (240 nucleotides) under Basidiomycota sp. RNAcentral describes it as "partial contains small subunit ribosomal RNA, internal transcribed spacer 1, and 5.8S ribosomal RNA". The stretch from base 1 to 47 matches the Rfam family "Eukaryotic small subunit ribosomal RNA", at positions 1785 to 1831 of the family's 1831-position model. The record is from RNAcentral. Lineage: Eukaryota; Fungi; Basidiomycota.